CGCAAGAUACCGACCUAGAAGCCAACCGGCUAAGUCUCAGUAGCUUCUGGGGUCUCUUCCUCCUCUCCGGCAUCGUGUGCGUUCUUGCUCUCAUCGUCUACAUCAUCAAGACAAGCUGUCAGUACAGCAAGUUUAGCAGCACAGAGGCUGGCAAAUCCAAGGAAAAUGUCGAGGUAAGCAGCAACCGAAAGGAUCCCAAACUUAGCAAGUUAAAGAGCUUCAAGAACUUGAUGCACUUCGUCGAUACCAAGGAAGAAGAGAUUGAUAACGUGAUCAAGAGGAGACUGAGUGACAAACAACAACAACAAGGUGCUUCUACUUCAGAUAAUGGGCCUUCUACGUCACAUGCAUAGAAGUUGGUAUUGAGAUGUAGCUAUCUCUUGCUAAGUUGCAAUGGUUGUCCAAGUAAUAGCUAGUUUCUUGCAGAAAGGAGCUUUUGUUGUAAUAUGAUUUGCAACUUCUACAGAAAAGAAUGAUAUUGUUAUUCUGAUGAAAAGAGUGUCACCUGGAAGUUCUGAGAUCGAGUUAGGAACAAUUACCUCAGAAUUUGCAUCUCCUCUCGCUCGGAACUCUAUCUUGGCAAAGUAAAAAGGUUUGGCUUUUCAUGAUUGAUGGCAAGUGGAGCUUCUUUUGGUGAUCACAGAUCACAGUCUCUGUUCACUGGCUGAACCUGAUAUCAGCAAUGAACAGAGAUUUUAUAUAUAUAUAUAUAUAUAUAUAUAUAUAUAUAUAUAUAUAUAUAUAUAUAUAUCGAACGGUAUAUCGCUCGGUAUACAAUAUCGUAUUGUAUCGAGCGAAUAUCGAAACUUUAGUACGGUACGAUAUUUCAAUCCUUGCCUUACAUCAUGCCUACAGUUGCUACAAACUUGCUCCUAUUUUUGUUGGAACUGUUUAAACUCUCAAUCAUGACCAUCCUAGAUUCAAAUGGUUCGCAACGAUCGCUACCCUGCGAUACCGCUACACGCGGGGUGAGGGCAUCAAGAGCAACAAUAGUUGUUGCCUUUUCUCGCUUUUGUGUCAACGAUUUUAAUAUCAAAAGCUUCUCCAAAACAUAACACAUGCAGUUCAAACCUAAUUUUUGCACGAACAACCUAGCUCUGAUACCAUUAUUGGGAAAUCUUGGGGGCGACAUCAUAUACGCAGCGGAAGAACAGAAAAUAAAAUCCUCAAUUUCCAAAGAUAUGUUCGUCAUCGUGCGAAGAUUGGUACGCAAAAAUUCGCGAAAUAGAAAACCACAUGUGAGAUACAUUGUGUUACUUAGGGAGAUCAUAUAUCCUUGAAUCUCUGCAUAUCUCUAGGAAAGGGUGAAAGAGGUCAAGCGCCCCCCUCUCUAGAGGUGAUUCACACAACAGGAUUGUGAUGAUGCUCCUCAAAACUCCAGACCUGUUCUGAGAUGGAGAAGGGAGGAGAAUAGAAGAAACAAUAAAAAAACACUAGCCUAUGAACCACUAGUUCUCUUACAUUCAACAGAUGGUUCACAUAUAAAUUGAUCUAAUGAAAUUUGAUCACAAUUUCUUAGAUAGAAAUAGUGCAGGCUAGAAGAAAAAGUCUCAACUAAUUUGAUCCUUAUUUUGUUUCAAUAAUCUAGUGUACCAUAUCAGUUGCCAAUUUUUGAUGGGCCUGCCACCUUCAUGUUAGGUACUGGUCUUAGCAAUAAGAGAUGAUAGACACUGGGCCUAACAAUAAGAGAUGAGAACAAAGGAGAAAGAUAAGAACUUUGUUCCAACUUCAAGACUUCAUUGCACAAUCUCUGAAAGCAAUCAUUGAAGGUAACAGCUUUAUUAAUUUGUAGUAAAAUAAUAACUAGGAUAUGCAAUCAAUGAUAAAUACACUUGAUCAUGAAGAAAUUUUUAUUUCAUAACUCCCAUGGAGCUAGACAUAAUCCAUGAAUCAAUUUCAAGAUCAAGACCCAAACAUAAUACAGAGAUAUGACAUUCAGCUCCUUCAGGUCUGAUUCCUUCCUGAAAUAAAUAAUGAACUGGAUAAGAAUCUUUAUUGGAGGAAUUGGAAAGAAAUCAAUAACCUAAUUUUAAAAAUAACUGAUCGUGAACUAAUCUGUAAAUUAACUGCAUACGAUAAGCAACAUAAAACUUUGUUAUAUAGUUAGCAUAAUCACAUCAGCAAGGGGAAAAGUAAUUUUAUAAGAAAGCUUUGUUCCAUUAAUAGUUUUACGUAAUAAACCUCUCAGUAAACACAUACAGGACAAGAUCCAAGACUGACACAAGCAUGUUACUUGGUUAUGUCCAAUGUAAUAUCAGAUUCAUUAUGUAAAAGAAAAUUGAACUCAGAAUACUGAAAAAGCCAAUUCUAUAAAGUACGCAAGUCAAAAGAAGAAAUAACCAGGAGGCAACCUAGCGUGCUGCUUCAUCCAAAAGGCUUUUAAUUAGGGCUAAUCUAAAAAGAGAAGGGUAGUGACAAGAUAAAAGGGCAUAUCCAAUGCAUAAGGUUCCCACCAAUUUAUAGUAAGACAAGCUAAAAAACAUAAAUAUAGUAUACAGCUGGCGUCCUUUGCAUGAUGAAACAAAAAUUUGAACAUGGAUCUAGCAACAAGACCUAUCAGAUGUGACCGUGGGAUGACUUCCUAGAUGGGGAACGUUGAUAUCUAAUAGGAGAACUAGACCAAUCAGAUGUGUCCCGUCGUUUGUGCUCCCUGUUUUCCACCGCAGGCGCCAUCCUUCGUCACAAAGUAGCCAAAGCUCCGAGUCGCAAUAUAAUCAAGUAAUUGAUAUCACUGAGUUCAAGCUAAAAUUCGUCAGAACAAGCACUAUAGUCAGAUUGACGAACAAAAACUAAUUUUCCAUUAAUAUCAUGAAGCAAUAAAGCAGGAUUAAGAAAAGCACACAUUUCCCACAAAUAGAGUAUCUCGAUUCCAGAGCCCACCAAAGACAAUGGGCAAAACCAUAGCUCAAAGCCAUCAAACGAAAGGAUAAGACAAAGAAACUUUAUAGAACACCAAGAAAAGAGAAAAAACCUAACUUUAACGCGCUCAUCAAUUUUUAUUCUCACUGCACUAUAUUAUUUGUACCAGUUGCAAACAACGAAAGAACGAAAACAAAGAUGGCAGGAAUACUAACUGAGAUGUGUUUGAUACGAAAGAGAGAAAAAGAAAAUCCGCGACAGCCAAGAAAAAGGGAUCUCAGAGGAGAAACUUACAUGCGAGAGAGGCAGGAGAGGGAAUGGAAGGAUAGCCCUAUCCAACGACGGAGCGUUCGCCACCGAGGGGAGGCGCCAUGGACGAACGC
RNAcentral lists this long non-coding RNA (3242 nucleotides) under Musa acuminata (dwarf banana). RNAcentral describes it as "long non-coding RNA (MACU_LNC002316)". Lineage: Eukaryota; Viridiplantae; Streptophyta; Magnoliopsida; Zingiberales; Musaceae. The record is from RNAcentral.